Molecule: transfer RNA, 81 nt
Filed under: Ceratobasidium sp. 428
Lineage: Eukaryota; Fungi; Basidiomycota; Agaricomycetes; Cantharellales; Ceratobasidiaceae
Description: tRNA-Lys
Rfam family: tRNA
About the family: Transfer RNA (tRNA) molecules are approximately 80 nucleotides in length. Their secondary structure includes four short double-helical elements and three loops (D, anti-codon, and T loops). Further hydrogen bonds mediate the characteristic L-shaped molecular structure. tRNAs have two regions of fundamental functional importance: the anti-codon, which is responsible for specific mRNA codon recognition, and the 3' end, to which the tRNAs corresponding amino acid is attached (by aminoacyl-tRNA synthetases). tRNAs cope with the degeneracy of the genetic code in two manners: having more than one tRNA (with a specific anti-codon) for a particular amino acid; and 'wobble' base-pairing, i.e. permitting non-standard base-pairing at the 3rd anti-codon position.
Source: RNAcentral
GCCUAGCUAGCUCAAUCGGUAGAGCGUGAGACUCUUAAAUCAAUCAUCUCAAGGUUGUGGGUUCGACCCCCACGUUGGGCU